UGAGACCUGAUGCCGAGCCGAUUGUGGUGAAGUGGAUGAUCCUAUGCUGUCGAGAAAAGCCUCUAGCGAGUUUCAUGGCGGCCCGUACCCUAAACCGACUCAGGUGGUCAGGUAGAGAAUACCGAGGCGUUCGGGUGAACUAUGGUUAAGGAACUCGGCAAAAUGCCCCCGUAACUUCGGGAGAAGGGGGGCCAUUGCUGGUGAUCACUCUUGCAGUGUGAGCUGGUGGUGGCCGCAGAGACCAGCGAGAAGCGACUGUUUACUAAAAACACAGGUCCGUGCGAAGCCGUAAGGCGAUGUAUACGGACUGACGCCUGCCCGGUGCUGGAACGUUAAGGGGACCGGUUAGCUCCAUUUCGGUGGGGCGAAGCUGAGAACUUAAGCGCCAGUAAACGGCGGUGGUAACUAUAACCAUCCUAAGGUAGCGAAAUUCCUUGUCGGGUAAGUUCCGACCUGCACGAAUGGCGUAACGACUUCUCGACUGUCUCAACCAUAGGCCCGGUGAAAUUGCAUUACGAGUAAAGAUGCUCGUUUCGCGCAGCAGGACGGAAAGACCCCGGGACCUUUACUACAGCUUGAUAUUGGUGUUCGGUUCGGCUUGUGUAGGAUAGGUGGGAGACUGUGAAAUCAUGACGCCAGUCAUGGUGGAGUCAUUGUUGAAAUACCACUCUGGUCGUGCUGGAUGUCUAACCUGGGUCCGUGAUCCGGAUCAGGGACAGUGUCUGGUGGGUAGUUUAACUGGGGCGGUUGCCUCCUAAAGGGUAACGGAGGCGCCCAAAGGUUCCCUCAGCCUGGUUGGCAAUCAGGUGUUGAGUGUAAGUGCACAAGGGAGCUUGACUGUGAGACCGACGGGUCGAGCAGGGACGAAAGUCGGGACUAGUGAUCCGGCGGUGGCUUGUGGAAGCGCCGUCGCUCAACGGAUAAAAGGUACCCCGGGGAUAACAGGCUGAUCUUCCCCAAGAGUCCAUAUCGACGGGAUGGUUUGGCACCUCGAUGUCGGCUCGUCGCAUCCUGGGGCUGGAGUCGGUCCCAAGGGUUGGGCUGUUCGCCCAUUAAAGCGGUACGCGAGCUGGGUUUAGAACGUCGUGAGACAGUUCGGUCCCUAUCCGCUGUGCGCGUAGGAGUCUUGAGAAGGGCUGUCCCUAGUACGAGAGGACCGGGACGGACGAACCUCUGGUGUGCCAGUUGUCCUGCCAAGGGCAUGGCUGGUUGGCUACGUUCGGGAGGGAUAACCGCUGAAAGCAUCUAAGCGGGAAGCCUGCUUCGAGAUGAGGGCUCCCACCCACUUGAUGGGGUAAGGCUCCCAGUAGACGACUGGGUUGAUAGGCCAGAUAUGGAAGCCGGGUGACCGGUGGAGUUGACUGGUACUAAUAGGCCGAGGGCUUGUCCUCAGUUG
This 1396-nucleotide ribosomal RNA is filed under the name Streptomyces botrytidirepellens. RNAcentral's name for it is "bacterial LSU rRNA". It matches the Rfam family "Bacterial large subunit ribosomal RNA", at positions 1557 to 2925 of the family's 2925-position model. Lineage: Bacteria; Bacillati; Actinomycetota; Actinomycetes; Kitasatosporales; Streptomycetaceae. The record is from RNAcentral.